UUAAACAUGUACAUUAAUAAACCUGAAGUACCAAAGGAGGUUAUAGAUGAAAUUUUUUGUACUUGUUAUCAGAGAAUUGGAUCUGAAAUUCAACAUCCCUGUAGUAAGAGAGACAUUGUACAGAACCAAAAAAUGUUAACAAGUUUAAAAACAAUUGAGUCAGCAGAUUGGAGGAGCUGCUUUGAGUCUGCAGAUUGGGAAAAAGCCGACCCUUAAAUCUACCUCUAGCCAGACUUUCUAUAAUAUCAAAAGAAAGAAUGAUAUGCCAGAUUUUACUAUUGAUUCAAUAGCAAUUAAAAAAGAUUUGAGUAGAUUGUGGAAUGUAGUUAUGUGGAAUGUGGAAUGUAAUUUGAGUAGGUGUGAAAUCUAAUUCUUCCAAAAAAUUAAGAUAUUGUCACAUGCUCUAAAUAACUAUUACUCAGUGGAAAAAGUGGAACUUUCAUUAAAAAAAAUAAAACUAUUGAAAUUGUCGUUAAAGGUUAGUGUAUGUUAAAGAUCCAAUAUCUCUAGUUAAUCAUAUUUGUACAGCUAAAAGACUAGAAAUCGGUAACAUUAUUAUUCGUGUAGGAAUAGAUAGUGACCAAGUGCCUUUAAAAAUUAUUAUGAAUGUUUUAAAUAGAAAAGUAAAUUAAGACUCCAAAAAAACCAAGAAUACUGGCGUUAACAAAUUUAUAUUAUUGACUUUUUCUGAAAAUAUUUGCAAAUGUCACACAAAUCUUCAAAUUCUUUUAAAAAAAUAAAAGCUAAACAGUUUAAAGUUCUACCUUCCCGCAGAUCUUAAAUUACUCAACGUAGUUUUGGGUUUGUCAGGACAUGGGGUAAAAUAUUCAUGUUUGUUUUGUGAUGGCAAUAAAAAAAAUCUUGGUUAUGCUUAUUAUGGUUUAUCUUAUGGUUAUUAUGUUAUCUUGGUCAUGGUUAAAUAUGCUGAAAAACAUGUAUGAAAACUUAGCUGAAAGUGGAUUUAAAAAAUGUUCUAUGCAACUCUACAAGAAUUUUAUACACCUGUGUCUCCUUGUUCAGUCUAGAGAGAUGUUUGUGCUUGAUGUAAUCCCUCUUCCAGAACUUCAUUUACUGAUGAAGAUUAUAACAAAGAUUCCAAACGUGAAAGGAACUUGAUGUUGCUCUCUGGUUAAAAAAACAUGGAAUUAUUUGGCAUGGGUAUAAUGAAGGUGGACUGGAUGGCAAAAAUGCUAAAAAAAUUUUUCAAAAAGCUUUUGAAUUUGAAAAAGUUUAUUUUAGAUCAUUUUCCUUCUUAAUUACCAUCCAGUUGUUGAACUGUUAAUGUCUUUUUCUACAGUAGUAAACAUGUGUUUCGGAAUAAGAUUCCACGACUGUUAUGCUGAUACCAUUGCAACAUAUGUAAGGAAGUUGAAGGAAAACAAAGAAUAUGUGAAGACUAUAUUCAACCACAACCUUAUUUAGGCUAUUUAGGUGCUCCAAGAAAUUCUUACGGUUUUAUCACGGAGCACUGUAGACCGUCGAAGAGCAUUUAACUAGAAGCUCACUCCUCCUUCUUUACUAAUGAAGUUAAGUGGCAAUGUGACGGGAGCAGGCAGGAGACAAAAGACUUAUCAUCCAGCCCCGUUGUAUUAUUUAUAUAUUAAACAAAAA
Non-coding RNA from Hydra vulgaris (swiftwater hydra), 1611 nucleotides. Lineage: Eukaryota; Metazoa; Cnidaria; Hydrozoa; Anthoathecata; Hydridae. The record is from RefSeq and is a predicted model, not a curated record.